Molecule: long non-coding RNA, 935 nt
Filed under: Brassica napus (rape)
Lineage: Eukaryota; Viridiplantae; Streptophyta; Magnoliopsida; Brassicales; Brassicaceae
Description: long non-coding RNA (BNAP_LNC025422)
Source: RNAcentral
UGUGAACACCAAAGAAGCUAAUAGCAUCGUCCAAAGUGUCAUGAUGGUCAUGCUCUCUGUCUAGCAACACGGUCAGAGAAAGUGUCUGACUCGUCCCAUCCAAGGAGCUAGCCAGGUAAAACCCCUGAGCCUUCCCUAUAACCGCUGAGCCUAGCUCGUGGCUUUCGGUUAGCUCAUCGUCCACAACGGUUAUGGUUCCAAACAUGAGAUGCUGGAGAGCAGCACCUGGAGGGAGGUUUCCCGCGGUUACAAAGGGGAGACUGUUGGUGCUGAGGGCGUCGUUGGAGUUUGCGUUGGUGUUUUGGAUCACUGUGCUGGUCUGUGCGCCGCCUAGGCCUGUGAGAAGCGGGGCUGUGUUUGGGUUAAUGACGCUGUUGAUGUUGUUUGAGUUGACAAGCGGGACUCCGUAAAAUAAAAAUUUCUUUGGAAACCAGAUUUACACAAGACAGGAAAAGCAAAGCCACAAGUGGAAGCUAGACAGCAAUAACAUAUACAAAAGCAAAUCAUAUAUUUGUUUGACACCUGUUCAAGCUUUGUAGUAGGUGAGGUAUACACUGAAGUGUAGAAUAGUGUCUUGACCAUCAGUGAUAUGCUGGUUGUUCUGGUUAUGCAGAGUCUCCACUAUAGCAUACCCUUUAGCAUGCUCAAACUUCCCCGUCCCGCCGAUAACAGCAAUCUGAGAGGCAUGAGAGGCUGUCCUGUGAACACCAAAGAAGCUAAUAGCAUCGUCCAAAGUGUCAUGAUGGUCAUGCUCUCUGUCUAGCAACACGGUCAGAGAAAGUGUCUGACUCGUCCCAUCCAAGGAGCUAGCCAGGUAAAACCCCUGAGCCUUCCCUAUAACCGCUGAGCCUAGCUCGUGGCUUUCGGUUAGCUCAUCGUCCACAACGGUUAUGGUUCCAAACAUGAGAUGCUGGAGAGCAGCACCUGGAGGGAGG